GCAAGUCGAGGGGUAACAGGGAAGCUUGCUUCCGCUGACGACCGGCGCACGGGUGCGUAACGCGUAUACAAUCUACCUUUUGCUGUGGGAUAGCCCAGAGAAAUUUGGAUUAAGACCACAUGGUAUUAAGACAUGGCAUCAUGAUUUAAUUAAAGGUUACGGCAAAAGAUGAGUAUGCGUCCCAUUAGCUAGUUGGUGAAGUAACGGUUCACCAAGGCAACGAUGGGUAGGGGUCCUGAGAGGGAGAUC
RNAcentral lists this ribosomal RNA (249 nucleotides) under uncultured bacterium. RNAcentral's name for it is "partial 16S ribosomal RNA". It matches the Rfam family "Bacterial small subunit ribosomal RNA", at positions 57 to 305 of the family's 1533-position model. The record is from RNAcentral.